Molecule: ribosomal RNA, 829 nt
Filed under: bacterium SCGC AAA018-C22
Lineage: Bacteria
Description: SSU rRNA
Rfam family: Bacterial small subunit ribosomal RNA
Source: RNAcentral
GCAGUCGAACGGAAUUGAGGGGCUUGCUCUUCAAUUUAGUGGCGCACGGGUGAGUAACGCGUGGAUAAUCUGCCUGACGAUCUGGGAUAACAUCUCGAAAGGGGUGCUAAUACCGGAUAAGCCCACGGGAACUUCGGUUUCUGCGGGAAAAGGGGGGGACCUUCGGGCCUUCUGUCGUCAGAUGAGUCCGCGUACCAUUAGCUAGUUGGUAGGGUAAAGGCCUACCAAGGCUACGAUGGUUAGCUGGUUUGAGAGAAUGAUCAGCCACACUGGAACUGAGACACGGUCCAGACUCCUACGGGAGGCAGCAGUGGGGAAUUUUGCGCAAUGGGCGAAAGCCUGACGCAGCAACGCCGCGUGAGUGAUGAAGGCUUUCGGGUCGUAAAGCUCUGUCGAGGGGAAAGAAGUGUAUUGUGGCUAAUAUCCACGAUACUUGACGGUACCCCUAAAGGAAGCACCGGCUAACUCCGUGCCAGCAGCCGCGGUAAUACGGGGGGUGCAAGCGUUGUUCGGAAUUAUUGGGCGUAAAGAGCGUGUAGGCGGUUUGUUUAGUCUGAUGUGAAAGCCCUGGGCUCAACCCAGGAAGUGCAUUGGAUACUGGCAGACUUGAAUACGGGAGAGGGUAGUGGAAUUCCUAGUGUAGGAGUGAAAUCCGUAGAUAUUAGGAGGAACACCGGUGGCGAAGGCGGCUGCCUGGACCGAUAUUGACGCUGAGACGCGAAAGCGUGGGUAGCAAACAGGAUUAGAUACCCUGGUAGUCCACGCCGUAAACGAUGAGAACUAGGUGUUGCGGGUAUUGACCCCUGCAGUGCCGCAGCUAACGCAUUAA